GGCCCCGUCGUCUAGCCUGGUUCAGGACACUACCCUUUCACGGUAGGUACAUGGGUUCGAAUCCCAUCGGGGUCA
Molecule: transfer RNA, 75 nt
Filed under: Phycisphaeraceae bacterium
Lineage: Bacteria; Pseudomonadati; Planctomycetota; Phycisphaerae; Phycisphaerales; Phycisphaeraceae
Also listed under: 2 other names
Description: tRNA-Glu
Rfam family: tRNA
About the family: Transfer RNA (tRNA) molecules are approximately 80 nucleotides in length. Their secondary structure includes four short double-helical elements and three loops (D, anti-codon, and T loops).
Source: RNAcentral